UACGGAGGGUGCAAGCGUUAUCCGGAUUCACUGGGUUUAAAGGGUGCGCAGGUGGGCUGGUAAGUCAGUGGUGAAAUCUCCAGGCUUAACUUGGAAACUGCCAUUGAUACUAUCAGUCUUGAAUACCGUGGAGGUCAGCGGAAUAUGUCAUGUAGCGGUGAAAUGCGUAGAGAUCGGGAGGAACACCAGUGGCGAAGGCGGCCGGCUGGGGGUGACCUGACGCUGAGGCGCGAAAGCGUGGGGAGCGAACCGG
RNAcentral lists this ribosomal RNA (253 nucleotides) under uncultured bacterium. RNAcentral describes it as "partial 16S ribosomal RNA". It matches the Rfam family "Bacterial small subunit ribosomal RNA", at positions 524 to 776 of the family's 1533-position model. The record is from RNAcentral.